CCAUCUUCUAUUUAAGACUGACGACGCUCUUGAGGCCUUAUCACCAGCCUGGCGCCUUAUCACAGAGUAUCAUCACAACUUUAACUAAUGGAAAAUCUCUAGUUAAGUCUGACAACAGCUAUGAUAGCCUAUCAUAGGGCUAAUGACUUAUCACAUAUGUCGUCAGCCACACUUCUUUUUAGAUUCCUCCAGAUUUCAACUUCUUUGCUUCCAUUCUUGUUGGCUCUCUAUCCCAUCAUCUUAAACUAUAAAAUCAGACAUAAAUAAAUCAAAAACAAUAAAAAUUGCUUAAGACUUCGCAAUUAUUCUUGGUUAAAGGUCCAAAAUAUGUUACCAAUUGGUCAAACAUCAGCUCCCUAUUUAACCCAUCAUGAAACAAGGACCAAGGACUCUAACAUAUGUGCGAGUCAACGGGCGAGUAAACCCGUAAGGUGUAUGGAAGAUGAUUGUUGGGAUCCCUCUGAGGGGUGCACUACUGACCAACCAUUAUCUUUUUCAAAGAUUUUGAGUGUGAGCAUACCUGUUGGGACCUAAAAGAUAGUGAACUAUGCUUGAGUAGGGAAAAGUCAGAGGAAACACUGCUGGAGGUCUACAACAAUACUGACAUGCAAAUCAUUCAUCUAACUUAGGUACAGGUGCGAAAGACUAAUCGAACCGUUUAGUAGCUAGUUCCCUCCAAAGUUUUCCUCAGGAUAGCUAGAGCUCACAUGUGAGUUCUAUCAUUUUAAGUGAAUGAUUAGAGGCCUUAGGGGCACAACGCCCUCGACCCAUUCUCAAACUUUAAAUAGGUAGGACAGCAUGACUACUUUGUUGAGCCACUCCUUGGAAUCAAGAGCUCCAAGUGGGCUAUUUUUGCUAAGAUGAACUGGCGAUACUAGAUGAAUUACUAACUGAGUUAGGAUGCCAAACUGCGCGCUAACCUAGAUCCUACAAAGGGUAUUGGUCGAUUAAGAUAGCAAGAUGGUUAUCAUGGAAGUCAAAAUCCACUAAGGAGUGUGUAACAACUCUCCUUUUGAAACAAUUAGCCUUGAAAAUAGAUGGCGCUUAAGCGCGUGACCUACACCCAAUCGUCGGGGCAUGUACAAGGCCCCGAUGAGAAGGAGGGCGUGGAGGUCGCUGUAAAACCUUGGGUGCAAGACCAGGUGGAGAGGCCAUCAGUAUAGAUCUUAGUGGUAGUAAAAAAUAUUCAAAUGAGAACUUUGAAGGCCAAAGAAAGGAAAGGUUCUAUUUGAUCAGCACUUGCACAUGGGUUAGUCAAACCUAAGUAUUGGGGGAACCCCACCAAAUAGCUUAUUUCAUACGUACUCCAAAAAAGAAUCGAGUUAAAAUUCCUGAAUUGUGACGUGGUGGUCAAUGAAAAUGUUAGAAAGUGCGGAGACAUUGGGGAAAGCUUCGGGAAGAGUUAUCUUUUCUAUUUAACAACCUGCCCACCCUGGAAUCAGCUCAAAUAGAGGUAAGAUCCAUCAGCUGGAAGAGCACUGCACGUCGUGUGGUAUCUAGUACGCUCCCAGCAGCCCUUGAAAAUAUUGAGGACCAAAUUCCAUCCAUGCCAGAUUGUACUUAUAACGAUAUUAGGUCUCCAAGGUGAACAAUCUCUGGUCAAUGGAACAAUAUAGGCAAGGAAAGUCGGUAAAAUAGAUCCGAAACUUCAGGAAAAGGAUUAGUUCUUAGGGCUGGUCAGAGGAGUCCUAGUCCCAAACCCAUCGGUUUGGUUAUCAGUGUAUUGCUCGAGCUGCUCCCACAAUGAGAGUGGGUCAACGCGUGUUGGCUGGGUGACGUAUAGGGAAUGGUUACUUCGAGUGCCUUUAUUGUGCAUCGAACAACUAACUCAAAAUUGGUAUGGAAAAGGGGAAUCUGACUAUUUAAUUAAAACAAAACAUUAUGAUGGUCCCAAUGGAUGUUCACACAAUGUGAUUUCUACCCAAUGCUCUGAAUAUCAAAGUGAAGAAAUUCAACCAAGUGUGGGUAAACUACGAGAGUAACUAUGAAGCUCUUAAGAUAGCCAAAUGCCUCAUCAUCUAAUUAGAAAUGUACAUGAUUGGAUUAAUGAGAUUUCCACUGUGCCUAUCUAUUAUCUAGCGAAACCACAACCAAGGGAAUGAGCUUAGCAGAAUUAGCCGGAAAAGACCCUGUUGAGCUUGACUCUAGUCUGACUUUGUGAAAGGACAUGACAGGUGUAGUAUAAGUGGGAGACGAAAGGAAAAAGUGAAAUACCACUACUUUUAACAUUAUUUUGUGAAUUAAAAGUAGGGCAUUACGCUUCUUUUCGGACCCAAGGCUCUCUCUGUGAGCCGAUCCGGGUGGAAGAAAUUGUCAGGUGAGGAGUUUAGAUGGGGUGGCACAUCUUUUAAAAGAUAAAAUAGGUGUCCUAAGAUGAGCUCAAUGAGAACAUAAAUUUUGUGUGGAAUAGAACGGUAAAAGCUUAUUUGUUUCUGAUUUCCAAUACGAAUAUGAAUGGUAAAAGCGUGGCGUAAAGAUCCUUUAGACCUUUGGAAUUCUAGGCUAGAGAUGUCAGUAAAGUUACCAUAGGGAAUACUGGCUUGUGGCAGCCAAGCGUUCAAAGCGAUGUUGCUUUUAAUCCUUUGAUGUCGGCUUUUCCUAUCAUUAUGAAGCAGAAUUCACCGAGUGUUGGAUUGUUCUCCCACCAAUAGGGAACAUGAGCUAAGUUUAGAAUGUUAUGAGAUAGGUUAGUUUUACCCUACCAAUGAUAGUUUCACAAUAUUAAUUCAACCUAGUAUGAUAUAAACUGUUGAUUCACACAAUUGGUCAUCCCGCUUGGUUGAAAAGCCAGUGGCACGACGCUACAGUAUGCUGGAUUAUAACGGAAUGCCUCUAAGUCAAAAUCUAGGCUAGAAGCAAUGGAUGCACCCGCCGUUCACUUACCAACCUACAUUAGGGACCUCAUUCCGUCCCGAAAGGGUACAUGUUGUUGGCUAAACCACCAUGGCAGAAGGGUUGCGGUGGCCGCCUUAAACUAUAAUUUCAAUCGAGCGGUGAGUAGAAUUCUUUGCACAUGAUUUAAAUAUGUGAUAACGUAUUGUAAGUGACAGAGUAGCCUUGCUACCAUAACCCACUAAGAUUAAGCUAU
This 3088-nucleotide ribosomal RNA is filed under the name Capsicum chinense (habanero). Its description in RNAcentral is "bacterial LSU rRNA". It matches the Rfam family "Eukaryotic large subunit ribosomal RNA", at positions 446 to 3388 of the family's 3401-position model. The record is from RNAcentral. Lineage: Eukaryota; Viridiplantae; Streptophyta; Magnoliopsida; Solanales; Solanaceae.